AGCCUCUCUAGGUUUCUUCACCAAGCAGUGAGAAGCUUAUUGUUCAGUGAGCUCAGAAUUUGAAACAAAGCCAACCAGUCAUAGGAAAACCAAGCUAGCAAAACACUCAUCCAGGGAAAAAAAAAAAAGAAGAAGAAGAAAAAAGAAAGGAAAGAAAGGAAAAGGAUAAGGAAAAAAAGAAAAGGGAAAUGAAAAGGAAGAGGAAGAUGAUGUUUCUUGUUAAGACUUGUGAGACGUGUGGACACAAGUGCUGGGGGGGAAGGAGAAAAGAGAAAUACUUCCAGGUGCUGAGGGGUUGUCAUGGAAGUCUUGUCUGGAUAUAUCCAACUUCCCAGUUUGGCUCUCGAGGCUCAUCUAGACUGACAGCAUAGAGGAAGCCUAGGAUGCUCUUGUGCUCAGUGUGUCCUGCUGGGUGGGUAGACAAAAGAAAGACUGCAUUGCUGGCAGUUGUGGGGAUUCAGCUGGCAGCAGCUACUGUGGCAAGUUUGGGUCCAAACGGUGAGGAUACUGUCAGCUGUCUUGCUUGGGUGUAAACAGAAUUAAAUUGAGUUUCCAAGUCAAAUGCCUUCUCAUAAUCCAUUACUUAGGACUGGUGAAGGGCAAAGUCUGGAGGAGAACAGAAAGAUCUAGUUAAGGUCCUUUGGAAAUGACUCACUCUUUUUUUCAGUUUAAGGUUUGAUGCUUCUGUGGCUGGCUUAUGAGCUGAACCUUCUCUCCAAACACAAGGACAGAGGGGUCUGUUGUCACAUAUUCCAUAAAGAACCAUCACCUGAAAACUGUGCAUCACCUCGUGAGAAUCUCAGUCAAGGAUCCUUCAGUGUGUGUCACAUGGACAAAAAGAAAGGGGGAAACUCCUCCUCCUGCAUGAACACAGCAGCAGAAUUGUCUUAAAGGUGCCGAGUUCCCACAAUCCAUGUGCAGCACACACAGUCCUCUUCCCACCCAGACCAUCCCAGCAGCGAAGUCCUGCUGGGCCAGCUCAGCCCCAUGGGUGCACCUGGCUGUGGACUUGCACUAACACCGUGAGUACCAUCAAGCUAAAUUAUAAGCUAAAACUAGAGGCCAUCCAGGUGAUGGUUUCUAAUCAUCUCCCAAGAGAAGUGGGAGAAACCCCUUGCCCAAAACUUCUAAAGCUCUGCUGGAAGCCAUUGCACAUAGGAGCCAUGGGGUCCCUUUUGCAUUUCUGCUGUAGGUGGUCUCCUGAAUCAACUACAUAAAGACUCCAGACACAGCUAUAAGAAUGUAGAAAUGUGUCACUUCUGUUGUAUGUAGAAAUGCACGUAUAAUUCUAGCUCUAAGUACUUCUAUCUGCUUCUAGUGUCUAGAACAUGAAAUUGCAUGGAGGGUUUGCUCCUGUGACUGAGGCUGCGGUACAGAAUAGUGCUUUAACCUAGAGAUGUG
This 1401-nucleotide long non-coding RNA is filed under the name Phasianus colchicus (ring-necked pheasant). RNAcentral describes it as "lncRNA (ENSPCLG00000005182.1)". Lineage: Eukaryota; Metazoa; Chordata; Aves; Galliformes; Phasianidae. The record is from RNAcentral.